RNAcentral lists this ribosomal RNA (707 nucleotides) under Pseudomonas sp. Its description in RNAcentral is "bacterial SSU rRNA". It matches the Rfam family "Bacterial small subunit ribosomal RNA", at positions 37 to 737 of the family's 1533-position model. Lineage: Bacteria; Pseudomonadati; Pseudomonadota; Gammaproteobacteria; Pseudomonadales; Pseudomonadaceae. The record is from RNAcentral.
UGGCGGCAGGCCUAACACAUGCAAGUCGAGCGGCAGCACGGGUACUUGUACCUGGUGGCGAGCGGCGGACGGGUGAGUAAUGCCUAGGAAUCUGCCUGGUAGUGGGGGAUAACGCUCGGAAACGGACGCUAAUACCGCAUACGUCCUACGGGAGAAAGCAGGGGACCUUCGGGCCUUGCGCUAUCAGAUGAGCCUAGGUCGGAUUAGCUAGUUGGUGAGGUAAUGGCUCACCAAGGCGACGAUCCGUAACUGGUCUGAGAGGAUGAUCAGUCACACUGGAACUGAGACACGGUCCAGACUCCUACGGGAGGCAGCAGUGGGGAAUAUUGGACAAUGGGCGAAAGCCUGAUCCAGCCAUGCCGCGUGUGUGAAGAAGGUCUUCGGAUUGUAAAGCACUUUAAGUUGGGAGGAAGGGCAGUUACCUAAUACGUGAUUGUUUUGACGUUACCGACAGAAUAAGCACCGGCUAACUCUGUGCCAGCAGCCGCGGUAAUACAGAGGGUGCAAGCGUUAAUCGGAAUUACUGGGCGUAAAGCGCGCGUAGGUGGUUUGUUAAGUUGAAUGUGAAAUCCCCGGGCUCAACCUGGGAACUGCAUCCAAAACUGGCAAGCUAGAGUAUGGUAGAGGGUGGUGGAAUUUCCUGUGUAGCGGUGAAAUGCGUAGAUAUAGGAAGGAACACCAGUGGCGAAGGCGACCACCUGGACUUG